UACGUAGGUGGCAAGCGUUGUCCGGAUUUACUGGGUGUAAAGGGCGUGUAGGCGGGUAAUUAAGUCAGAUGUGAAAUACCGAGGCUCAACCUCGGGGCUGCAUUUGAAACUAUUUAUCUUGAGUGCUGGAGAGGAAAGCGGAAUUCCUAGUGUAGCGGUGAAAUGCGUAGAUAUUAGGAGGAACACCAGUGGCGAAGGCGGCUUUCUGGACAGUAACUGACGCUGAGGCGCGAAAGCGUGGGGAGCAAACAGG
RNAcentral lists this ribosomal RNA (253 nucleotides) under uncultured bacterium. RNAcentral's name for it is "partial 16S ribosomal RNA". It matches the Rfam family "Bacterial small subunit ribosomal RNA", at positions 524 to 776 of the family's 1533-position model. The record is from RNAcentral.